GGAUCGAACCCAGGCCCCCUGCAUUGGGAUCACAGAGUCUUACCCACUGGACCACCAGGGAAGUCCGUGAUAUUUUAAUUUGUAUUUCCUCAUUGAAACAACAGUUGCUUAGUUAAGUACAUUGUUUACAAAUAGAAAAGCUUUUAAUUUUUUGCUGUUAUUAUUUAAAUUUUUAUUGUGUUAUAUUCAGAGAUUGUUUCAAACUCCCUCCAUUUUUAUACUUAUAUUGUAAUCACAGAAAAUUUCUUCUCCAUUCAUUUCAAAUUGAACCUUACAUCCACUAUUUAGAUUUUUCGUAGGCUCUUAUCUAGAUUGCCACCCUCUAGGUUUUAUCCCAAAUAUCCUUUUUAAUAGAUUCCCUGACACUCCUAGUUUCCCCAAUUUCCUCAUACCAUUCACUUACUCUGCUCUCUCCAAAAUUAUAGUCUCCUUGUUCAGUUUUUAAAUAACUGUUCAAUAUGAUACAUAACUGUUAUAAUAUCUAAAAAUCAUUCAGAUACUUUUCCAUAAAGAAUAAGAAUGGCUGGUUCUAGAUGUAAGGGGAUAGAAGGAAAAUCUGUGAAAUGUUAUGAAGUAAGCAGACUGAGCAUCUAGGAGGGUUGAAUAAUAGUGAAACUCAACUGAAUAUAUGUUAAUUAUACACAUCUCUAUGCACAGCAGGGAAUGAACAGUAUUGGUGGAGACAUCUCUGUUUGAUUGGAUAACUGCUUAAAGAAUUAUUAGGUUUACUCUCCAGGUAUAAGACCAAGAAAUUAUCUCCAGAGGAUAUUUAUGAAAUCAGUUUAUCCCGAUGGAAGAUAAUAGGAGGAAGUAAAACUCCUUGUCUUAAAGGAUCUAUUUUGAGAAAUGAGUGGCAGAGCAAAACAUCAGAAAAUUCAUACAGGCAAGAAACCCUGUGAAUGUAAGGAAUGUGGGAAAACUUUUAGUGCAUGUGGUCAACUUACCUGUCAGGAGAAAAUUCAUACAGGCAAGAAGCCCUGUGAAUGUUAAGGCAUGUGGGAAGGCCUUUAGACUUGAUUUUUACCUCACUGAACACAGAAUAAUACAUACAGGAAGUUCGUAUUAGGAAAUAAACCUGUUAAUGUAACUGUUAACCAAGAAUUCCAAGAACAGAGACCUGGUUGAAGAAAAAAAGGAAAAAAGCGCUUUUAUUUGGGGUUUGUUAGAACUGCAGCCCAAGAAACACAACCCACUCGAAUUGUGUUCUGCUGGACUAUAAAAUGGCGUAGGCUUAAAAAGGUAAAAAACUGCAAAGUUACAUAAAUUGUCAAGAAUUAGGAUGUGAGCUGGCAAGAGGUAAGGGUGCUUGUUAAACAAGGAUGCUUUGGGGUUCACAAUGAUUACAUAAUUGUGUCGGGGGUGGGAGACUUUUAAACUACAAGGUUGCAACUAGCAGCUGCUAGCAAAUACUGUUUUGAAAACAGCUGGUGCUGUCCUUGAGUUUAAUACAAUUCAGAGAAAAUUCAAGUUCUCAGUGAUGCAUGAAUGUGUCUCAGACCAGAUCCUCAGUGUCUGCCAGAUUACAUUUUUGUAUGCCUGAACUAUGAAUUCUCUAUUAUAAUUUCAAUUUGUCAUCAAAAUAAUUGUGGGGAAGUUUUUAAUCAAUGACAUAUACUUAUCAUCAUUGCCUUUACUAUCUGUGUGAUAGUGGGCAACACAUUUACCCUUCUGGGUGUCAUUUAUAAAAUGGUACCCACCUAAAAGUGUGGUUGAUAGUUUAUAACAUGUACAAUUUUGCAAAAACUACCUGGCCAAAAAACUCCUUUGAAUGAAAAAUAGAUAUGAUAAUUUUUAUUAUUAUCAACAUUAUACUUAGUGAGUUUCUUAAUAUAAAGACAUAAUGAAGGUAACAAAUUUAGAAAGCCAUUCAUCACUUAUUGUAUUUCAGGAAAUUCAUCUUUGAUAAAAUCCAUAAGAAUAUAAAGAACAUGUAAAGAUCAAAUGCAGACUUCAUUGCUUAAGUUCUACCAGAAAAUUAGAGCUGAAAAGUAACCCUAAGGAUUUAAUGAGUGUGAGAAUAUUAAGAAUAUAGCUGGUGAAACAUCAGGGAAUGGUGUGAAGGAUUUUACCAAUAAUAUAGAAGUUAAAAGGAUAACAAAGAGCAACCUGCCUAGAAAAUAUUUACUAACUUUAUUAUGAAAAAUUUCUGACAAAAACAUAGAACGCAUUCUGUAAUGAACAUCCAUUUACCCUUCACCUAGAUUUGAAAAUUUACACUUUGUAUAUUUGCUUCAUUUUUCUAUAAAAUAUAAUUUUUGCUGUACCAUUUAAGAAUAAAUUGUAAACAUUGUAUCACUUUACCCUCAAUAAAUCAGUUUGUAUCCUA
Non-coding RNA from Delphinapterus leucas (beluga whale), 2326 nucleotides. The record is from RefSeq and is a predicted model, not a curated record. Lineage: Eukaryota; Metazoa; Chordata; Mammalia; Artiodactyla; Monodontidae.